GAUGAACGCUGGCGGCGUGCCUAAUACAUGCAAGUCGAGCGAACAGACGAGUAGCUUGCUCCUCUGACGUUAACGGCGGACGUGUGAGUAACACGUGGAUACCCUACCUAUAAGACUGGGAUCGCUUCGGGAAACCGGAGCUAAUACCGGAUUAUCUAUUGAUCCGCAUGGUUCAAUAGUUAAAUACGGUUUUGCUGUCACUUAUAGAUGUAUCCGCGCCUCAUUAGCUAGUUGGUAAGGUAACGGCUUACCAAGGCGACGAUGCGUAGCCGAGCUGAGAGGGGGAGCGGCCAAAAGGGAACGGAGACACGGUCCAGAAUCGUAAGGGAGGCAGAAGUAGGGAAGCAUGCGGAAGGGGCGAAAGCCUGACGGAGCAACGAAGCGUGAGGGAGGAAGGGCUUCGGAUCGAAAAACUCUGUUAGGAGGGAAGAACAAAUGUGUAAGUAACUAGGCACGUCGUGACGGUACCAAAACAGAAAGCCACGGCUAACUACGUG
RNAcentral lists this ribosomal RNA (497 nucleotides) under uncultured bacterium. RNAcentral describes it as "partial 16S ribosomal RNA". It matches the Rfam family "Bacterial small subunit ribosomal RNA", at positions 28 to 507 of the family's 1533-position model. The record is from RNAcentral.